Molecule: unclassified non-coding RNA, 332 nt
Filed under: soil metagenome
Description: partial contains 5.8S ribosomal RNA, internal transcribed spacer 2, and large subunit ribosomal RNA
Rfam family: 5.8S ribosomal RNA (bases 1-120)
Source: RNAcentral
GAUGAAGAACGCAGCGAAAUGCGAUACGUAAUGUGAAUUGCAGAUUUCAGUGAAUCAUCGAAUCUUUGAACGCACAUUGCGCCCGCUAGUAUUCUGGCGGGCAUGCCUGUUCGAGCGUCAUUUCAACCAUCAAGCCCUGGGCUUGCGUUGGAGCCCUGCGGCUGCCGCAGGCUCCCAAAUCCAGUGGCGGGCUCGUCGUCGUACCGAGUGCAGUAAACAUCCUCGCUCAGGGAACGUGACGGGUUCUUGCCGUGAAACCCCCCACAUAUCAAGGUUGACCUCGGAUCAGGUAGGAAUACCCGCUGAACUUAAGCAUAUCAAUAAGCGGAGGA